This is a long non-coding RNA of Helianthus annuus (common sunflower), 7279 nucleotides long. RefSeq lists it as uncharacterized. NCBI's taxonomy places the organism in Eukaryota, Viridiplantae, Streptophyta, Magnoliopsida, Asterales, Asteraceae. The transcript is spliced from 6 exons. The record is from RefSeq and is a predicted model, not a curated record.
UAUAUAUACACACAACCCACCAUCGUUAAAUCAUCAUUAUCUUCAACAUCGCUUAUCAAUCCUUCUGGUAUCUUCUUCUUCUCUACAUUUGAUCGAUAGUUUUGAUUUCAAAGCUGGUACGGCCGAUCUUCAUACACCAGGUUCUUUCUCUCCUACAUCUCCGUUUGGUGAUCUAGAUUCGAAAGAUGUUCGUGCGUUUGAUUUUGGAAUAUAUUUGAUUUUAAAGCUUGAUCGGUAGUUUUGAUUUUAAAGGUGUUUCGGCCGAUUUUAACGUAUUAUCUGCUUUCGAUGAUCUGGAUCGAAAGCUGUUUGUGACGUCAUCUACCGCGUUUGAUUUUUGAAUCUGUUUGCUGUGUUAUUGAUUGAUAAUUUUGGUUUUAAAUCUGGUUGCUUGACCAGAUCUAUAUGAUAUCCUUUAUCGGUUUUUAGGUUCAAUGGUUUGGGAUCAUCGUUUUACAAGCAUCCGUUUCGAUCGAUCUGAUUGUUUGCUGCAGUUCAUGAUUACCGGUUCUAGGAUUUUUUGAAAUAACUUGUUCAGGUUGACUUUUGUAUUGUUAUCCGUGAGUUCUUGAUAAUCGUUUAUCGUCUGUUUUUUAUUGAUAAUCUUCGGUAUUGGUUCGGUUGAUCAUAACAAGACCUUACUUCAGUUUGAUUGAGGUUGGCUGCUGGGCAGAUCAUGACCUGUUAUUAGGUUUGUUGUUCGGUUUUCUUCGUGCUUUGAUGACCUGUUAUUAAGUUUGUUGUUCCGUGUGUGUAAGUUCUGCCGGUUGGCUGCUGGGCAGAUCAUGCUUACGUCUUUGCCAAGCUUCUGUAGGCUGCCUGGUAUUUUUCUAUUUUCACUUCAGAUUCUUCACUUUAUUAUUGAAAGCUUUGAUUGUCUUUGAUGCUUUUUAGCAAUGCUUUAAAAACCAGUUCAAACGGGCCGGUAGAACCGGUUAAACCGCCCGGUACACCCGGUUGAACAGCCAGAUACACCCGGUUAAACCGUUCUUGAGCCUAAUCCGGUACGGUAUAAACCGGAUUUUAAAACAUUGCUUUUUAAGGCGGAUUUUAAAACAUUGCUUUUUAGGGCGGAUUUUAAAACAUUGUUUUUAGGGUUCUGAUUCAUUUGGUGAUCUUAACUAUGACCUUCUGUUGUUGCUUCUAUUUAUCUUGCAGUUUCUUUUGAUUGAUAUACCAGUCGUGGGUGGAUAGGACUUUUUUUUAUACUUUACACUGGCAAUGGGAUGAACAUUCACAUCACUGCCGGUCUUUACAAUUUCUUUGUUUUUUUGCUGUGUUCUGUUUACACUCUCACUUAGCAGGCGUUUGUUAUACUUGAUGUUUAUUUCUUGUUUGUAGAACCACAGAAAAUAACGGAAAAUCAGACUGUGUUGGGACAUGGAUUGUUAUCUGGUACAUGACUUGCUCCCUAAUGACCUUUCUAUAAGUUGAUGGUUGAUCGUCGUAUCAGUUUUUUAGUUUGAUCUCAUGCAUGCUUCGAUAAGUUGAUGAUGAUUGAUCAAGGUUAUGGUCUCUUCAUGAUUAAGUGGCCACUUGCUCCAAGGUGUAGUAUUUUUGGUGUGUUCUUGCUGUUGCAGUGGCGAGGUUGAGAUUUGUUCUGAUUAUUUAUAUUUUGAGCUUCGGUGGUCAGCAGUUAUGGGUCAGGCAAUGCGAUUAAUUUUUUUCUUCGUGUAGGUUUAAAAAUGCUUGCAUAGGGUGGGCUAUCAUUGAUCUUCUAUCUGAGGCUCAUAUGCUGUGCAUCAGGUUUAUCACUAUCUAAACCAUGGUCAAAUGUUCGUUCUUUUUUAUCCUAACAUGCUUGGUGGCCCACGUUAUAAACAACUGCAUGACCAGCUACCGUUGAUUGGCGAAUGAUUUUCCCUUGCGUGUUUCUUUCGCGAGUUAUGGAUCUUGUAUCAUGCUCAGCUCAUAACCAGUUCAUCUUUCUCACACUUACUUUGUUUGCUUGCUUGAGGUUACCUGUGCAACAAAAACAUGUAUUUUUUAAUCUGUAGGUUAUUGAGAGACGUAUGUUUAAUAGCAGACUUAGAGGAUAUGUCUUGUUUUCUGUCAGCCGUAUGGUUUAUGGUUUUGCUUCUAGCUGGAUUGUAACCACAACAUUCCCUCCAAUGAUUUGUUCUUUGUUUUGGUGGUAGACUGUGGAGUAUAAUCAAUGCUACCAUCUGGGGUCAUAAAUCUAACUACUUUGGCUUAAUUUAAGACGUGUAGCCCCUUCCAUCCUCGAAUAGAAGGUGCAGAAGUUGUUUUCCGAACCUGUGACUUGGUGGAUCAUACAUCUAUUAUUUCAGAAAGAUCGCGUUGGGGUUCUUAUUAUGCUUUCUCUAGAGUUACUUGGCAAUCGGUUGCUCUUUUCUACAUCAAUUCUUAUUAUGCUUUUCUUCCUAGGCAUAAUAAAUGAUUGGACCUGGGCAUCUUGAUUAGUAUCAUUUCGUGUCCUAGAACCAUCUUUCUUUUGUACUUUUAGUUUUCUUUAUAGGUUAAUGUAACAACAGAAUUGUGUUUGUUUGUAGGUUUGUUGGGUGACCGCAUUGUGUGAUCAUAUGCCUCCCUAUUCUCCUUCAUCUCUAAUUUCUCAUGAUUUUUUGUGUGUUGGCUGUAAGUUUUCAUAACAAGGUUGUGUUUUUCGUGCAAGUUAGAGCGGCUUCGUACAUUGUUGUCCAGUCGGCACCUACUUACUCUACUUCCAGUUUUGUAGAGACGUUUUUGUUUUUACCAUUAUUAUCUUUAAUGUGUUGAUGUUGUGCAUGUGUUCUGCAGAAAACAACAAAUGAUUGGACCUAUGCAUUUUUUAUUAGUAUCGUUCCGUGUCCUAAAAUCCUCUUUCUUUGUUCUUCACUUUAUAAAUGACUAGUUUCCUUAUAGGUUCCUAUAACAAUAGAAUUGUGUGUGUGUGUGUAGGUUUGUUGCGUGACCAGGACCCUGAUGAUCAUAUAUGCGGGCUCUCUUUGAAUCUUAUUGCUAACUUUUGUAUAUUUAUCGUGUCCUUUUUUAAUAUCGUUAAACUACAUAAAUCUUGUUUAUUUGCUAAUAGGUCUGGAAUACUCUGUCUUUGCUUGGACCUUUGUCUUUGCUGGACCUUUGUCUUUGUUUGUUGCCGACUUUGGGGGGUGUCUCUAUGGGAAGUGAACAGGAGCAUCGUAUUAGAUUGUGUUAUUCCUUUUAGUGAACAAGUUCUGUUUUUUAUCCACAUUUGUCUUCCUUUGACUUUGAUAUAAUUUUGAUCUAGGCUCGGUAUAUUGAAGAUGGUUGGAUUGCCGUGCCUGCUCGUGGAUCAUCGUGUUCAAUUACUUCCCACUACUAUGUUCUUUCUCUGAUCUCUUAUUCCGUCUUCUGUGUUUCUUUGGAUGAUGAUAUUAUGUUUUGUGUGUAGAUUUGUGUGGCUUCAAUCGUUGUUCUCCAAUUACAGUCUGCCGGUUUUUCUUAAGUUCUUAUGUUUAUUCUAUGUUACGAUUGUUCAUCUCUUUACAUCAUGACGGGGACUUGAUGGUGUUGACGAUACUAUGUAUAUGUUUUGCAGAAAGAGCGACACUGGAUUGGACUUCUAGAUAUUGAUUAGUAUCAUUUCGUGUCCUAAUAUCCUCUUUCUUUAUUCCAUAUUAACUAGUUUUUUAAAUAGGUUUCUGCAACAAGAGAGUUGUUUGUUUGUAGGUUUGUUGGGUGACCAGCAUCCUUAUGAUGGAGUUUAUUGCAAACCUUCGGUGUAAGCUGUAAGUUUGCAUAACAAGGUCAUGUUUUGUGUGUUGGUUGGACGCCCUCGUACAUUGUUGUCCAGACACUGCCUACUUACUGUACAUCUAUUUUUGAAGAAAUGUUUUUAUUUUACCAUUAUUGUUUUUCUAUCUUUCUAUCUUCUUGGGGAACUUGUAGAAGGAGCUUCGUGUUAAUAUUGUUGCAUGUGUUUUGUAGAAAAAAAAACAAAUGAUUGGACCUGGGCAUCUUGAUUAGUAUCAUUUCGUGUCCUAGAACCAUCUUUCUUUUGUACUUCUUGUUUUCUUUAUAAGUUUAUGUAACAGAGUUGUGUUUGUUUGUAGAUUUGUUGGGUGACCGCAUUAUGUGAUCAUAUGCCUCACUAUUCUCCUUCAUCUCUAAUUUCUCAAGAUUUUCUGUGUGUUAGCUGUAAGUUUUCAUAACAAGGUUGUGUUUUUCGUGUAGGUUAAGAGCGGCUUCGUACAUUGUUGUCCAGUCGGCACCUACUUACUGUACUUCUAGUUUUGUAGAGAUGUUUCUGUUUUUACCAUUAUUAUUUUUCUCUCUUUAUAUCUUCGUGGGAACUUUAGUGUUGAUGUUGUGCAUGUGUUCUGCAGAAAAAAACACCAAGGGAUUGGACCUACGCAUUUUGAUUAGUAUCAUUCCGGGUCCUAAAAUCCUCUUUGUUCUUCACUCUAUAAAUGACUAGUUUCCUCUUAGGUUCCUAUAACAAAAGAAUUUUGUUUGUUUGUAGGUUUGUUGCGUGACCUGGACCAUGAUGAUCAUAUAUGCGGGCUCUUUUUGAAUCUUAUUGCAAACUUUCGUAUAUUUAUUGUCUCCCUUUUUAAUAUCGUUAAAGCACUUAAAUCUUGCUUAAUUGCUAAUAGGUCUGGAAUACUCUCUCUUUGCUUGGACCUUUGUCUUUGUUUGUUGCUGACCUUGGGGGGUGUCCCGAUGGAAAGUGAACAGGAGCAUCAUAUUAGAUUGUGUUAUUCCUUUUAGUGAACAAGUUCUGUUUUCUAUCCUCGUUUGUCUUCCUUUGACUUCGAUAUAAUUUUGAUCUAGGCUCGGUAUAUUGAAGAUGGUUGGAUUGCCGUGCCUGCUCGUGGAUCAUCGUGUUCAAAUUAGCGUGGCUUCAAACGUUGUUCUCCAGUUACAGCCUGCCGGUUAUCUUAAAUUCUUAUGUUUAUUUUAUGCUACGAUUGUCCAUCUCUUUACAUCAUGAUGGGGACUUGAUGGUGUUAACAAUACUAUGUAUAUGUUUUGCGGAAAGAGCAACACUCGAUUGGACUUCUAGUUAUUGAUCAGUAUCAUUUCGUGCUCUAAAACUUACUUUCUGUUUUCUUGGUUUUAUUUAUUGACUAUUUUUUUAGCUAGCUUUCACGAAGGAUGGGAAUUGUAUUUCGUUUGUAGGUUUGGUUGGUGACCAGACAUUUUUUCUCCAUCUCUUGUCUGGGAUGCCUAAAAGGCUAAGAGGAUAUAUUAUUGACCCACCACAGGCUCAGGCAAAAUUGAAGAUGAUUGGAUCGUUGUUCUUGCUUGUGGAUCGUCAGCGCAUGGUAAAGAUGAUUGGACUCGUGUUACUAUCUAUAAUCUUGCUUAAUUUCUGAUAGAUCCGGAAAACUUGUGAUUUGUUUGGGCCUUUGUCCUUUCUGGUUUGUUGGCAUGUUUUUAAAACCCCUCAAUCGGAGUUUCAUAUCAGUUUGUUCCCCUCUCUUAACAAUGAGUACUACUGAUUGGUUGUUGUUUUAUUAGUUUUGCCAGGAUUUUUGUAUUUCUAUGUGGUUUAGAAUCCCGCCAAACACUUGUAGGUGAAUUUUGAAACUACUUGCAACACAAGGGAGUUUGCUGGGUAGGGUAACGAACUCACCAGAUUUUCUAGUAUAGGAAACGAAAUCUAAUUGAAUUUGUUUUUCUUUUUAUUUUCUUAUAUUUUAUUUAACUUAUUUCUUAAAUUUAUGGUUAUUUUGUUCUCUCAUACUUGUGGCCUUUUUUGUCUGAUUUGAGGUUUUUUUUGGCUCCUCCUUUGCUGGAUCUGCAGAUGAUUUUUUUUUUUUUUUUUCUGUCUUUCCUUCUUUGCUAUAUUAUUUAGUUGAUAACCUGGGUGGUUUGACGCCUCUUGUGAUUAAAAUAUUGAACAAAAUGCCAAUCUGAUCCUGUUUUAGUAUAUGGAUUUUAAUUUUUCAAGUUAGUUUUUGUUUUGUUCUUUGGUCAAAUGUGUGAGCCUUUUGCUGUAAGAAAAAAUGUUAUCCCAGAAUUCCAGUUAGGGUAUGCACCAUCUUGCAGGAUUGGAAUCUUUAUUGAAGUUUACCUAGUAAAUGUUCAAUUUUUUCGUAUUUUUCAUUUUUGCGGUUCAAAAAAUUUGUUUUCGAGAUUUGGAUUUUUCAAAUUUUUUUUUUCGGAUUCAGUUCAAGACUGAUUUAGGGUUGUGACAGUUGUGUUUUACUUGAUAAAAAAGAUGUUUUUUUUUUGUGUUUAUAAGCUGGAAAAUAGAUGCUGUUAUCACGACACUUGAAGCAUGUUUUUUUUUGUUGCGUAUACUUUGAUUGGUGUGCUGUUUUUUAUAUAUGUAUACAAGUUUUAACUCUGCCUGGGUUUCAUGUAAACUCAGCCGGUCCCAAGCCCGGGUAAAACGAGGAGGGUUUAAGUUUGCUAAAAACUUGUAUUCAAACUUGUUAAUGCUUUACUGAUUUUCUCAUGAACAGUUCCCUGUGUGUGUGUGUUCCAUUAUGAUAUGGGAGGUUCUUUUCUUUUGUUUUUUGAACAUUAUGUGGUCCUAUUGAUUGUCCUUGCCUGUAGUUCAGGUGAGGCUGCCAUUUUUCCAAUCUGAGGUUGCUUGUUGGAAAAAGUACGGUUAAUGUAAUAGCUUCUGGAGCCUUUGAUGUUGAUCACAAAGAUGAACUCUUUGAUGGAAAGGUAUCGUGCUCAUUAUAUUGGGGCCUCGGUAUGUACCAAUCUCCGAUAAACCUGUCUUCUUCUUCUUGAGCAUUGCCAGGCGGCGGUUUGUGGCUACCUCUGUGUACCACAACAUCAACGGCUGGAUUUUGGGGCCUCGGUAAGUACCAAUCUUCCGUGUUUUCUCUCAUAUCUAAAGUUUUGGAUGAGAGUUCUUGUCAAAUAGAGACAUUCUGUGGUUGUGGGCAGUGGUUAGCAGUUGAGAUGAUAGUUGUGGUUGAAGGUGGAAGUGGAAGACGUGUUAGGUUUUGGUCGGUGGUUGCGGUUGUGGGUGGUGCUCUAGAAGAAGAUGGUCGUAGGAGGACGAAUUGCCCCUACGCAAAUGAGAUGGAUGCCCAUUAUCCGGAUGAACCCAGAAAGUAUAAAUGUGGAUUAUGUGAAGAAAAUGGUCAUAGAGAACAAAUUGCCCCUACGCAAAUAAGUGAUUAAAGAUUUUACAUACGAUAUUGUUUGUUUUAUGUUUAUUAUCUUUUGAACAUCUGUUUAUGUUUAUUUUUAGAUUUUUUUAUUAGUAGUAUUUUAUUAUGUGUGUUUUAAUGUAUUAUAUUUAGUUAAACCAAACCGUAUUAAGCUUCACAUCACAUGGUUGUACUCCUAUUGUUGGUAAUAAAAACACAGGCAAUUGAAGGUCUCA